GAAAUGCGAUAAGUAAUGUGAAUUGCAGAAUUCAGUGAAUCAUCGAAUCUUUGAACGCACAUUGCGCCCGCCAGUAUUCUGGCGGGCAUGCCUGUUCGAGCGUCAUUACAACCCUCAGGCCCCCGGGCCUGGCGUUGGGGAUCGGCGGAAGCCCCCUGCGGGCACAUCGCCGUCCCCCAAAUACAGUGGCGGUCCCGCCGCAGCUUCCAUUGCGUAGUAGCUAACACCUCGCAACUGGAGAGCGGCGCGGCCACGCCGUAAAACACCCAACUUCUGAAUGUUGACCUCGAAUCAGGUAGGAAUACCCGCUGAACUUAAGC
Molecule: unclassified non-coding RNA, 320 nt
Filed under: plant metagenome
Description: partial contains 5.8S ribosomal RNA, internal transcribed spacer 2, and large subunit ribosomal RNA
Rfam family: 5.8S ribosomal RNA (bases 1-105)
Source: RNAcentral